UUUGGCAGUUGUGGAGUGAAGACAGAGCCUUAGAAAUUGUGGAUUCGUCAUUGGAGUCAUACGCGCCCGACGAAGCCAUGAGAUGCAUUCAGGUCGGGCUCUUGUGUGUCGAAGAAGAGUCGAAGAACAGACCAUCCAUGUCAGCUGUUGUUUUUAUGUUGAGCGGCGAAGCAUCUGCUCCAUCUCCUCAGCAGCCUGCAUUUGCCUUGAGAAAAAAUUCAUGCGGCGAUGCUGUUGUUCCGUCAGUUUCCGAAGGAUCGUGUUCUAUCAACGAUGUGACAAUAACUAAAUUCGAAGGUCGAUAACUAAAUUCUGAUGUCAUCUGUGAUAAAACAUGGUCUUUCGGGAACUGAAUCAUAUACGUUGAAAUGAGACUUCAGAUAUAUAGGCUAUUUCAUACAUUUUCAAAUACCUCUUGGAUGUAUCUAAUAAUACAGAACUCUUUCCAACAGUUAUGUCUCCUAAUCAAAACGUUUUGAAUAUUAAUUAAAAACUUAAUCCAAAACUAAAAUCAGUUAAUAUGCUAAUUAAAAUUACACCUAUUGGAGACCUUGUGUUCUUGUGUUCCCUGAUGUGGGAUAAUUGAGGCAUAAAACUCCAACAGAUUCCAACAAGAUCAUUUUCGGAUUCUUUUAGUGAGGAUCCUGAUGAUUUGUGAAUUGUGUCCAUUUAUCGUACAUGCAGUUAGUUUUUGUCAAAUAUUGUUUGUGUUUAAUUUUAAAUAAAAAUAUUUAAAAUAAUUUCUAAUCGUACGAUGUACGAUAAACGGACAAAAUUGACGAAUCCUCGAGAUCCUCACAAAAAGUAUCCGGCGAGGAUCCGGAUUCCAACAGAUUAUUCUUUGACGAAACUGAUUUGACUGCCAACAUCCAAAGUCUCCUUGGUUUGAGUCGUGCUUGCUAGGUGCCGGGUAAACCCUUCAAACAAGCAGCAAUAAUUCCAACAGAUAAACAUAAACAUCAGCGACAAUUCUUCUGUCUUAAGAAAGAGACGGAUCUAAAUCGCACUUCUAACAACACCGAUAUUAUUUUUAAUUUAGUUAGAGCAUUCUCAAUUGGGGCUUUAUCUUCCAUGAAGCUACUACAUUUGGAGUCCUAGUAAGAAAUUUUAUCCCCAAUAAGCCGAAAAUGAGGUUAGAUCCACUAUUUGGGUUAGUAACUUCCUUUCCUAGGUAGCAAAAAAUUAAGCUACAUCUAACUUUAAAAAGCAGUGAAUCCCACGAAAAAGGACGAUACUUGGACACUGGCUAGUCAGUGUCCAAUUUUAUUGACCCCAAAUAAAAAAAAUGACACUUGUCCUUUUUAAUUCUAUCUCAGAUUGUUGCCAUCUUCAUAACCAAACAUCUCCUAUUUCCCCAUAGCUUCUGCAAUGGAGAUUUGGGCAAAUCCUCAACUCCUCCAACCUUUGCCUCCGUCGACCGACCCGUUCCGUCGACCCCAUCCCGUCUCCACCUCAUUAUGAACCAUAUAUGUAUUUGCUACAAUAGAUUGACUAAAGAAUUUUAGUUUUAAUUUAUUUUUUAUAAAGAUGAUUUUACAGUGUGAUUCAUAGUAUGAACGAUUCUGAUUAUAAGCACAAAUCUUCGUGAUUAAAACAUUAAUAAUUUUGAAUAGGAGUUCCUACUUAUCUUUAAGUAGCUAAAUAUUAUUCAUCACCCUCAGAUGUCGAUUAGCAUAUACCUAUCUUAAUAUAUAAGGAUAUAAGAAUCGGGACGUGUCACAUAAUCCUAGACAAUUCAACAAGACUUGAGUGGAUCCCAGAAUGCUGACUAGAAAUGUGGUUUUCGUCUUCCAAAUACCGAUUGACGAAAAGUAGCACAUAUUGGGUAAAAUUCAAAGAAGCAGUUGAGCUGUCAACACUUUCAUUAAUGUACACAGAAAAACAAGUGCGGUCAAGUUCGUUUUGAGAUAAGGGAGGGUAGGAUUCUUUGGUAGUCCGAUGGCUUGGGCCUCUGAUCGUCUAAUUCUCUAUUGCCCUCGCUGUUGCUGUGAUUGUGCCAAGGGUUUGAUGCAUCUGCCAAGAAAAUGUUACUGAAAGCUUUGCUUGUUGUGUCCCUCCUCUUCCCAUUUUGCACAUCCAUUGACACCAUAGAAAUGGACCAACAUGUAAAGGAUGGUGAUCUUCUGGUGUCCAAAGGAAACAUCUUCGCAUUAGGGUUCUUCAGCCCCAGAAACUCCAGCUCCAGGUACGUCGGAAUUUGGUAUGUUCAAAACGAUCAAAAAGGUCAAAAGGUAGUGGUUUGGGUAGCAAACAGAAACGACCCCAUCAAUCAUACCUCCGGUGUCCUUACUAUAGACGGGUAUGGGAGACUGCUUUUUUAUUCUAACAAUAUGCAGAACAUUCCUGUGUGGUCUACAAAUGUGACGGUUCAAACUACGAGCACUAGUUGCAGGGCUCAGCUUUUAGAUUCUGGAAAUUUAGUUCUUUUCCGGGAUAAUAAAAGCAAAAAUUUUAUGUGGCAGAGUUUUGAUUAUCCUACAGAUACUCUCCUUCCGGGUAUGAAACUAGGCGUGAAUUGGAAAUUGGGGAUAGAAUGGGUCUUAACAUCUUGGAAGUCACAAGAUGACCCUGGAACUGGGGAAUACACCACUAGGCUCUAUUCCAAUCAGACAGCCACCCCCGAAUUUUUUACUUUUUAUAAAGGUUUGACUCCGCAUUGGCGAUCUGAUCCAGCGAACACGCGUACUAUUGUCAAUAAUCAGGGCGAAACGUAUUCCUUUGUUAAAAACGAUAGCACUCCAACAAGGGCGGUGUUGAAGGAUUCUGGGUUGCUGCAAAUCCUCAGGUGGAACAAGGCAGAUAGAGAAUGGAAGGAACUAUGGUCUGCGCCAAAAUAUCAGUGUGACCAGUAUGAAGAGUGCGGUGCCAACAGCAAAUGUAGUCCUGAUAAUAUCAAUUCGUUUGAGUGUGAGUGUCUGCCAGGGUAUGAACCGAAGUCUGUCAAUGAUUGGAAGAUGAGAGACGGUUCGGACGGGUGUGUGAGUAAACGAGUUGCAGUAUCAAAGUGUAGGAACGGAGAAGGUUUCAUGAAAGUGGCACGAGUUAAAGAUCCAGACACAACGAAAGCAGCACGGCUGGAAAAAGGUAUUAGUGUCAAAGAGUGUAAGCAGGUGUGCUUAAGCGAUUGUUCUUGCACUGCAUAUAUGAUCAUAGAAUCUGAAGGGCGCAGUGAUUGCUUGACAUGGUAUGGUAAGUUGCGGGACAUUUUAGUGUACACACAGGCAGGGCGAGAUCUGCAUGUACGAGUGGACAAAAUCGAAUUAGGUACCACUUCUUGCCAUGGAAAAGUUGCAAUAUAAAUUUUUGGAAUUUGCGGAACUUACUGUACUACUGGUUUUGUUAGUUUUUAAUCCUUUAUCCCACUCUUAUGUGUAGCUGAAAAUUUCAGAAAUUCGAAAGGUUUUCUUAAAAGGAGGGGCAUGCUGGCUAUUCUGAUGUUGUCUGUUCUUCUAGCAUUGGUACUGAUCGUUGCGUUGGCCUGUUGGAGGAUUAGGAAAAAGAGGAAGACAAAAGGUAAGAAGUAGUCAGCGAUUUUGAAUUCUCGAACAGUUUCAUCAAAUAAAAGCACUCCACUUGUAAUGCUUGUGCAGUUUGUAAAUCAUAUAAAAGCACUGCAAUUAGAUAGAAUCCAUAUGCGCGAGCUCGAUGUAAAACUUAUAUUUCUAUAUCGUUUGUCAAUGAAAAUAGAACAGUGAGAAGAAAAUGCAGACAAUGAUUUCUUUUAUUGUUAGCAGUUGAGAUUGAAGAAACUAGGAGACAUCCCGAAUUGCAGUUUUUCCAUCUGAGAACGAUAAUUGCAGCUACGAACAACUUCUCUCCCGUCCAAAAACUUGGCCAAGGUGGUUUUGGCACUGUUUAUAAGGUUAGUCCCACUUUCGAAAAGUUACAAAUUUCAUUAUUAAAGAAUAAUCACAACAUAAUGGCUUGAUAAAAUAAGUGAUGAUUAUGUGGAAGCUUAAUGAUAAAAUUGAGUAAAAACUUCAGGGUGUGUUACGAAAUAAUCAGAAUAUUGCUGUAAAAAGAUUAUCCAGAGCUUCAGGACAAGGAGUUGAAGAAUUCAAAAAUGAAGUUGCGCUGAUAGCGAGACUUCAACACAGGAAUCUCGUGAAACUUUUAGGCUGUUGCAUAAAGGGAGAAGAAAGGAUGUUAGUCCUGGAAUACUUGCCGAACAAAAGCUUGGACUACUUUCUUUUCGGUAUGUCUAUAGAGGAAAGAUUCAUUUGUUCACGCCAUUUCUCAAACUAUGAAGCAUAUCUUAGUCGAAUAUGUCACAUUUAUCUGCACAAUUAAAGCCAAAUAUCUUGAUGCAGAUCACACAAAAAAGUCCUUGCUGGAUUGGCAAAAGCGAUUCGAAAUCAUCAAUGGGGUUGCUCGUGGGGUUUUGUAUCUUCACCAAGACUCAAGACUUAGGAUUAUUCACAGGGAUCUAAAAACCAGCAAUGUCCUUCUAGACGCUGAGAUGAACCCAAAAAUAUCAGAUUUUGGCAUGGCAAGAAUCUUCCAUGGGGACCAACUCCAAGAUACGACCAACAGAGUUGUCGGAACAUAGUAAGAAUCGUUAUAAACUCACCUUCCAUUAGCUCUUUCAUCUCUUACUAUUCUUUGGAUGUAACGUUUUAUUUUCUUUAUAUGUAUAAUACAGUGGCUAUAUGUCACCGGAGUAUGCAGUGUUCGGGAGAUUUUCAACCAAAUCGGACGUUUUUAGUUUUGGGGUCAUAUUAUUGGAGAUUGUAAGUGGCAAGAAAAACAACGGUUUCUAUCAAGCGGAUCAUUUCGUAAACUUAAUAGGACAUGUGAGUAACACAAAUUGUGCAAACAACCAACCCUUUUUAUUUACUCAUCUCAUACAUGUUUAAAAUGAACUGUCAACUACAGGUUUGGCAGUUGUGGAGUGAAGACAGAGCCUUAGAAAUUGUGGAUUCAUCAUUGGAGUCAUACGCGCCCGACGAAGCCAUGAGAUGCAUACAAGUCGGGCUCUUGUGUGUCGAAGAAGAGUCGAAGAACAGACCAUCCAUGUCAGCUGUUGUUUUUAUGUUGAGCGGCGAAGCAUCUGCUCCAUCUCCUCAGCAGCCUGCAUUUUCCUUGAGAAAAAAUUCAUGCGGCGAUGCUGUUGUUCCGUCAGUUUCUGAAGGAUCGUGUUCUAUCAACGACGUGACAAUAACUAAAUUCGAAGGUCGAUAACUAAAUUAUGAUGUCAUCUGUGAUAAAGCAUGGUCUUUCGGAAACUGAAUCAUAUAUAUUGAAAUGAGACUUCAGUUAUAUAGGCUAUUUCAUACACUUUCAAAUACCUCUUGGAUGUAUCUAAUAAUAUAGAACUCUUUCCAACAGUUAUGUCGCCUAAUCAAAACGUUUUUAAUAUUAAUUAAAAACUUAAUCCAAAACUAAAAUCAGUUAAUAUACUUAUUAAAAUUACACCUAUUGGAGACCUUGUGUUCCUCGAUGUGGGAUAAUUGAGGCUUAAAAUUCCAACAGAUUCCAACAGGAUCCUCUUCGGAUUCUUUUAGAGAGGAUCCUGAUGAUUCGUAAAUUGUAUUCAUUUAUCGUACAUCGUGUGGUCAGUUUUUGUCAAAUACUGUUUGUAUUUAAUUUUAAAUAAAAAUAUUUAAAAUAAUUUAUAAUCGUACGAUGUACGGACAAAAUUAACGAAUCCUUAGGAUCCUCACAAAAAGUAUCUAGCGAGGAUCCGGAUUCCAACAGAUUAUUCUUUGACGAAACUGAUUUGACUGUCAACAUCCAAAGUCUCCUUGGUUUGAGUCGUGCUUGCUAGGUGCCGGGUAAACUCUUCAAACAAGCAGCAAUAAUUCCAACAGAAAAACAUAAACAUCAGCGGUAAUAGACUCUAGUGUAUACCUUUUAUUCUGCAGGUAUGUUGUUGCACAUGUACAUCGGUCAGGACAACAAAUUCUGCUCACUAUUUUCACUUCGAGAAGUUUAGUGUGUGGGGUGAAAUGAUCGAAUCAUGAGUUGGGGAUAGAACAUGUAAAAUUCUAGUUGUUUUUAUAUAUAAUGGUUGUGAAUAUCUUUGUAAAUUGUAAUAUUAUAGAUGCUUGUGGUUGUGGGCUGUUUUAAUUUUAUGAAAAAAUAAUUUUUUGUUUAGCCUCAAUCUCAAUUUGUAGGUGACAACUUUGUCAGGCACAAAAGGACCUUUAUUUGUGCUAACACUUUUCGGCACAACAUACCAUAUUGUGCUCUUUGAUCAAAGGCUACGCCUAUAGAGGGCACAAAUAGAAAUAUAGUUAUUGCACUGUUGCUAUUGGUCUAUGGGCAUAAUUGUUGGUGCUCUUUGGCCUCAAAGGAUCGUGUUCUAUCAACGACGUGACAAUAACUAAAUUCGAAGGUCGAUAACUAAAUUCUGCUGUCAUCUGUGAUAAAACAUGGUCUUUCUUGAACUGAAUCAAAUACGUUGAAAUGAGACUUCAGUUAUAUAGGCUAUUUCAUACACUUACAAAUACCUCUUGGAUGUAUCUAAUAAUACAGAACUCUUUCCA
Molecule: long non-coding RNA, 6488 nt
Filed under: Malus domestica (apple)
Lineage: Eukaryota; Viridiplantae; Streptophyta; Magnoliopsida; Rosales; Rosaceae
Description: long non-coding RNA (MDOM_LNC005377)
Source: RNAcentral